GUGUCAGCAGCCGCGGUAAUACGAAGGGGGCUAGCGUUGCUCGGAAUCACUGGGCGUAAAGCGCACGUAGGCGGCUUUUUAAGUCAGGGGUGAAAUCCUGGAGCUCAACUCCAGAACUGCCUUUGAUACUGAGAGGCUUGAGUCCGGGAGAGGUGAGUGGAACUGCGAGUGUAGAGGUGAAAUUCGUAGAUAUUCGCAAGAACACCAGUGGCGAAGGCGGCUCACUGGCCCGGUACUGACGCUGAGGUGCGAAAGCGUGGGGAGCAAACAGGAUUAGAUACCCCCGUAGUCC
This 292-nucleotide ribosomal RNA is filed under the name uncultured bacterium. RNAcentral describes it as "partial 16S ribosomal RNA". It matches the Rfam family "Bacterial small subunit ribosomal RNA", at positions 505 to 796 of the family's 1533-position model. The record is from RNAcentral.